Molecule: ribosomal RNA, 468 nt
Filed under: uncultured bacterium
Lineage: Bacteria
Description: bacterial SSU rRNA
Rfam family: Bacterial small subunit ribosomal RNA
Source: RNAcentral
GAUGAACGCUAGCGACAGGCUUAACACAUGCAAGUCGAGGGGCAGCGAGGGCGUAGCAAUACGCCUGUCGGCGACCGGCGCACGGGUGAGUAACGCGUAUCCAACCUGCCCUUGUCCAUCGGAUAACCCGUCGAAAGGCGGACUAACACGAUAUGCAGUUCUCAGCAGGCAUCUAACGAGAACGAAAUGUGAAGGAGAAGGAUGGGGAUGCGUCUGAUUAGUUUGUUGGCGGGGUAACGGCCCACCAAGGCGACGAUCAGUAGGGGUUCUGAGAGGAAGGUCCCCCACAUUGGAACUGAGAUACGGCCCAGACUCCUACGGGAGGCAGCAGUGGGGAAUAUUGGGCAAUGGGCGAAAGCCUGACCCAGCAACGCCGCGUGAAGGAAGAAGGCCUUCGGGUUGUAAACUUCUUUUAAGAGGGACGAAGAAGUGACGGUACCUCUUGAAUAAGCCACGGCUAACUACGUG